AGUUUCACCCACAAGCAGCAGCUAGCAUAACUCGAACUCACAGGUUGCAAGCGAGGGAUCGGACGAGCUGCCAGCCAAAGAGCAGCGGAUGGCGUCCUUCAGCCGAGCCGCCCGUCUCCGCGUGCUCCUGCAGGUCGCGCUUCUCGUCGUCUCCGCGGUGCUCAUGGGCAGCUCCGUUUGCCACGGUGCCCGCGAUGGCGGGUUAAUUGCUGGCACCCGCUGCGUGUGGUCUCCGUGGGCUGGAUGGCCCAGUCGAGGACAUGGUAGGGGUGGUGGUGGUCUUCGUCCCUGUGGUGGCGUCCCGAUAGCAGCCACUCCACCAGCACCAAUUGGAGAGAUCCCUCGGCCCUGAUGACCGCCUGAUCACAGUCGCAGAGCUCCGAGGUGCACGACUCCAGUAAUUGUAAAAUAAAACGGAUGAGACCGUCCCAUCUCCUCUCCCAUGCACUAGUCUUUAGCGUGAAUAAACCUGGUGUCAGUGCAAAUGGCCGGCGGCACUGCUGCUAGGUGCCGUGACAUUGAUAUAGGGUGUACAACAUUCAGUUCACAAGAAAGAUCGACAGUGAGAACUGUUUUUCUUUCUCAAAUAUAUAGAAGAGCUACGUGUUAUUAUAUUAAGAAAAAAAUAA
Molecule: long non-coding RNA, 629 nt
Organism: Phragmites australis (common reed)
Lineage: Eukaryota; Viridiplantae; Streptophyta; Magnoliopsida; Poales; Poaceae
Exons: 2
Source: RefSeq, a predicted model, not a curated record